GCUGGGCAUGGCAGCUCACACCUGUAAUCCCAGUGGCUCAGGAGGCUGAGGCAGGAGGAUCAUGAGUUCAAAGUCAGCCUCAGCAAAGCAACUCAGUGAGAUCUUGUCUCAA
Molecule: small RNA, 112 nt
Filed under: Marmota monax (woodchuck)
Lineage: Eukaryota; Metazoa; Chordata; Mammalia; Rodentia; Sciuridae
Source: RNAcentral